UUCGCCCUUUUCCGGUUGAUCCCGCCGGACCCUAUUGCUAUCGGGGUGAGACUAAGCCAUGCAAGUUGAGCGCUUCCUAGCUAUGUUGGAAGAGCAGCAAACGGCUCCAUAACACGUAGUUAAUCUGCCCUUAGGACAGACACAACCUUGGGAAACUGAGGCUAAUAUCUGAUAGGUGGAAACGCCUGGAAUGGUCUUCCGCUUAAAGGUUUUUGGACACAUGCUUCCAAAGAUGCCUAAGGAUGAGACUGCGGCCGAUCAGGCUGUUGGUGAGGUAACGGCUCACCAAACCUAUAACCGGUACGGGCCCUGAGAGGGGGAGCCCGGAGAUGGGAACUGAGACAAGGUCCCAGGCCCUACGGGGCGCAGCAGGCGCGAAACCUCCACAAUGCGCGAAAGCGUGAUGGGGUUACCCCGAGUGCCGUCCGUUGAGGAGGGCUUUUCUCCAGUGUAAGGAGCUGGAGGAAUAAAGGGGGGGCAAGACUGGUGUCAGCCGCCGCGGUAAUACCAGCCCCCUGAGUUAUAGGGACGAUUAUUUAGCCUAAAGCGUUCGUAGCCGGCUUUGCAAGUCUUUCGUUAAAUCUAACGACUCAAUCGUUAGGCCGCGGAAGAUACUGCUAGGCUUGAGGGCGGGAGAGGUCGACGGUAUUCCCGGGGUAGGGGUGAAAUCCAAUAAUCCCGGGAGGACCACCAGUG
Molecule: ribosomal RNA, 696 nt
Filed under: uncultured archaeon
Lineage: Archaea
Description: bacterial SSU rRNA
Rfam family: Archaeal small subunit ribosomal RNA
Source: RNAcentral